RNAcentral lists this ribosomal RNA (664 nucleotides) under Salmonella enterica subsp. enterica serovar Goldcoast. Its description in RNAcentral is "partial 23S ribosomal RNA". It matches the Rfam family "Bacterial large subunit ribosomal RNA", at positions 928 to 1590 of the family's 2925-position model. Lineage: Bacteria; Pseudomonadati; Pseudomonadota; Gammaproteobacteria; Enterobacterales; Enterobacteriaceae. The record is from RNAcentral.
CAUCCCGACUUACCAACCCGAUGCAAACUGCGAAUACCGGAGAAUGUUAUCACGGGAGACACACGGCGGGUGCUAACGUCCGUCGUGAAGAGGGAAACAACCCAGACCGCCAGCUAAGGUCCCAAAGUCAUGGUUAAGUGGGAAACGAUGUGGGAAGGCCCAGACAGCCAGGAUGUUGGCUUAGAAGCAGCCAUCAUUUAAAGAAAGCGUAAUAGCUCACUGGUCGAGUCGGCCUGCGCGGAAGAUGUAACGGGGCUAAACCAUGCACCGAAGCUGCGGCAGCGACACUAUGUGUUGUUGGGUAGGGGAGCGUUCUGUAAGCCUGCGAAGGUGUCUCGUGAGGGAUGCUGGAGGUAUCAGAAGUGCGAAUGCUGACAUAAGUAACGAUAAUGCGGGUGAAAAACCCGCACGCCGGAAGACCAAGGGUUCCUGUCCAACGUUAAUCGGGGCAGGGUGAGUCGACCCCUAAGGCGAGGCCGAAAGGCGUAGUCGAUGGGAAACAGGUUAAUAUUCCUGUACUUGGUGUUACUGCGAAGGGGGGACGGAGAAGGCUAUGUUAGCCGGGCGACGGUUGUCCCGGUUUAAGCAUGUAGGCGGAGGUUCCAGGUAAAUCCGGUACCUUAUUAACGCUGAGGUGUGAUGACGAGGCACUACGGUGCUGAAG